CAACCACUUUCAUACAGAAAUCCUGCAAUAAACGCAGGAACACCAGCAUGCAGGCUGUGGCUUUUCACUCAGACAUGUUCAGGCUCUCUUACUUCAACCUUCCCGUCUCAGAGGAAGAUCAACACCGGCGCCGUACCUAUUCAGCACAGCGAGACACCGGCAUAUUGGCACAGUACUCCCAAAAAAAGGCAAAGUGAGAGCGGCUAUAGACAGGUGCACCGAUUGGGUGAUGACGGGUGAGAGGGCGUGGAGCAGUUGGAGGGCGGGCCCGAGCCAGAGGGACUGCUGUUAUUGGACAAGGGCGAGAACAGGGCGUCCUUUCCGAGACCUUUGUUCUGGAGCUCCAGCUGAAGUAAAUGAAGUUUCUGUCGGACCUCCAGGAGUUCUUUCAUCUGCCAUUCCCUCAGCUGGACCGUCUGCUGCUCAAUCUCCUGAUCCAAUGCCGUCAGCUCACUCUGCACCGGCUCCUGGGACUCACUGAGAGUACACACACACAAAUACACAUAAAAACAUGCACCACGGAGGUCAGGUUUAAUCAGCUUGAACCAUAAGUGCAAGUUUACCAUAAACUUUACUUUUACUCCCUUCACUGGCUGUUUUUUCUUCUUCUUCUCAAGUCUUUCACACCUACCCCACCAUCCAUCUAUCUUUAUAUAAUCAAUCUAUCCAUAUUUUAUUAUAUCUUGACCACCUCCCCUCUGUCAUUUACUGGUACUUUGAGAUUUUCCCCACUAUUCUCCCAUUUUACACAUCAUAAAUCCUUACUUUUUCUUGAUGCUACGUUUGAGGUGUUUCUCCAUCUGACUACGUCUCCUCUGGGUGUCAGAUUGAAUCCGGCUGGUCCGACUCUUCUGCUCCUUACUCAGAUUCCACACCUACAAAACACACACACACACACACACACACACACACACACAAGCAGAAAUCAAUUUCUUUUGCAGCACACUGGCAAAAUGAUUUUUCAGCCUCUAGUGCCAAUGUAGUGGACUUUUCAUCAUCCAGUUUCUAUGUAGAGCUGGAAAAAUCUAUACAUAAGAAUCUAAAUAUGAGUGGUUCCAUUCUGUUAGGCAUCUAUCUUUGUGUGUACCUUCUUAAGGUGUUUCUUGCGCAUCUCUUUGAUUUCUUUUUUCUGUUUCUUUAGCAGCUUCACAUAGCUCUUCUGCUGCUUCAACUCCUCUAUAGACUGGGCCUGGAUGUCUGACAGACAGAUCGAGAGACAUAGAAUUAUGGCCAAUCACCAUUGUAAUUUAAUAUUAUAAAGCUGACAGCUAGCCACUCCUGGCUUGUCCAACUUUAAAAAAAAUGAAUACAUAUCCUAUACACAGCUCAAAAAUGAUUUUCACUAGUUUCUGUGGGAAAUGAAUGACCUUACCUGUCAGAACAGUGGCUAUGAGGUCUUCCUUCAGACUUUGUGCUACACACACAAACACAUGCGCACACACACACACACAAAGAAAUGCAGGAAGAGAAGCACACAGACAGUAUGUGUGAAAUGGAUGAUGGGAAAAUGAACCAAGCACAACAGCAGAAAACUCAAUGUAAUGAACAGUAUUCAUGGCUUUAGUGUAAGUUUAACAUACUGUACAAGUUAACCUUGUAUUGAAAAGAACAAUGGAUGAAAUUGGGUAAGCUCAUAAAAUUUCCCUUUUUUUAAAAAGUGACACUUUCAUAAAGCUUUGAAUCACAAAACGUGGGAGAUGAAUGAUUUUCACAAGACGUUAAAAAAUAUUUUGUUUCACUUAUUGAAAUUUCCUGCAGACAAGUGAAAAGAUCUUGUGAAUAGAUUACUAUGGAUAUUUGUGCAGUGAAGACACAUUCAUGGACAUAUUACAUUAGCUUACAUUAGAAUAUAAUACACCGCCUCAUAGCAGGCUAAUACAAAUAUACAGUACAUGGGAGGCAGGCAAGCUGAUACAAUGGAACAACAAUACGGGUUACAUUUGACAAUUGGAUUAUACCUAGCAUCUUAUGCAUCUUUGAAAGUGAUGUCUAACUAAUGUACGUUAAAUUAGCAUAACAUCCAUUCAUGUAAAAAGUUAAUAAAUUCUAGACAGUACUUUUUUUAUUUUCUUAUUUUCUGGCAGAUUACUCAUGGCUGUUUGUACCAGAGCUUAUUACUGGGAAAUGUUCAGAAAGUAGACUAAAUGGUGCCUCUAGUGGCUUGAAAGCGUCUGAUUAUAUAUUCAUUUAGGAUUUCAAGUGCAGAUAAAUUUAAUGGUGUGGGUAUUUACACGUGUCACAUGUAGACAUUAAAACAACAUUUGUGGCUGUGUAUGUAUUGUUUAUGGCUGUCUCUACCAGGUGCAGGUAAUUUGAUGACUUCAGGUGCUUCAUCCAUUGAGCAGGGGGGGAGGGCAUGGAAGGGGGAAGGGAGUCCCGGAACAACUUCACUCUCUUUGGUCUCUCUCUCUUUGGGCUGGUUGGGGACAUGCUGGACAAAGCAAGAGAAAGAUGAAUUGGAAAGUUGAUUGAGAGUUCACAAUCUGUAAACUUUAGAUUAGAUUAUCAGAUGAUCAAUCUUAAUGUUGUAUUAAUGUUCAUAUUAAUGCUAUGAUAUAGUCCAUUGAUAUAGUCUUUAUUUUUUUUAUAUAAUAAUCUGAUAUAGUCUGAUGAUUUGGCAACAUUGUUCUUGAAAUGUUCAUGGAAAUAAAGCCCUUUUAAUUGAA
Long non-coding RNA from Micropterus dolomieu (smallmouth bass), 2666 nucleotides. RefSeq lists it as uncharacterized. The record is from RefSeq and is a predicted model, not a curated record. Lineage: Eukaryota; Metazoa; Chordata; Actinopteri; Centrarchiformes; Centrarchidae. The transcript has 3 exons.